AUUGAACGCUGGCGGCAGGCCUAACACAUGCAAGUCGAGCGGAUGAAGGGAGCUUGCUCCUGGAUUCAGCGGCGGACGGGUGAGUAAUGCCUAGGAAUCUGCCUGGUAGUGGGGGAUAACGUCCGGAAACGGGCGCUAAUACCGCAUACGUCCUGAGGGAGAAAGUGGGGGAUCUUCGGACCUCACGCUAUCAGAUGAGCCUAGGUCGGAUUAGCUAGUUGGUGGGGUAAAGGCCUACCAAGGCGACGAUCCGUAACUGGUCUGAGAGGAUGAUCAGUCACACUGGAACUGAGACACGGUCCAGACUCCUACGGAAGGCAGCAAUGGGGAAUAUUGGACAAUGGGCGAAAGCCUGAUCCAGCCAUGCCGCGUGUGUGAAGAAGGUCUUCGGAUUGUAAAGCACUUUAAGUUGGGAGGAAGGGCAGUAAGUUAAUACCUUGCUGUUUUGACGUUACCAACAGAAUAAGCACCGGCUAACUUCGUG
This 484-nucleotide ribosomal RNA is filed under the name uncultured bacterium. Its description in RNAcentral is "partial 16S ribosomal RNA". It matches the Rfam family "Bacterial small subunit ribosomal RNA", at positions 30 to 507 of the family's 1533-position model. The record is from RNAcentral.